Molecule: ribosomal RNA, 1261 nt
Filed under: Polypheretima elongata
Lineage: Eukaryota; Metazoa; Annelida; Clitellata; Crassiclitellata; Megascolecidae
Description: l-rRNA
Rfam family: Bacterial large subunit ribosomal RNA (bases 799-1163)
Source: RNAcentral
GCACACACAAAUUAUCUUUUAAAUAUAGAUAUAAUAUAAACAACUAAAUAAUAAAUAAAAUAAAUAUUAAAGUACAGAAAUGGAAAACAUAAUUAUUGAUAGUAAAUCUUAACAACUGUACCUUGUGCAUUAUGGUUUUACAAGAAAAAAAUUAAAAACAUAAAUCCCGAAUUCUAAAUGAGAUGUUAAGCUGCUGCUACGAGCCCAUGAAUAGCUGUAGAAAAAGCUUUUAAAGACAACUUAACAGAGGCUACAUACCAUCCGCAUAAGAAUAUAGCUGGUUCUCAACAAACAUUAUAUAUUAAAGCAUGUAACUAAGUUACAAUGUAAAAUUAUUGAGGACAAGCCCAAUAAUACAUGCAAACAUAAUUAAUAAUCAACUAAAAUGCAUAGGCCUAAAAUCAGCCAAUAAUAAUACUUUACCGUUAAUAGACCAGACAAAAUUUAUUAUUUAUCAUGCCCGAAAAAGUUGAGAUGGGGAUAAAACAUGUUGCGUCCCCAAUAAUAUGUAAAAAUAAGUAUUAUAAAAACAAAAUAUCAAUAAACCUACUAAUUAUCAACUACUACACUAACAAUGACUAACUAAGGAACUCGGCAAAUAAUUAUUUCGACUGUUUAACAAAAACAUUGUCUCAUGAAACACUAUAUGAGAUAAUUCCUGCCCAGUGACAAAUGUUCAACGGCCGCGGUAUCCUAACCGUGCAAAGGUAGCAUAAUCACUUGCCUAUUAAUUGUAGACUAGAAUGAACGGGCCAACGAAAUAAAAACUGUCUCAGUUAGACACCUAAAAAUUAUUUUUUAUCUGAAGAUAGAUAAAUCAACUCGAAGGACAAGAAGACCCUAUAGAGCUUUAUUUUAUAUAUGGAUACUUACCACAUGAAAAUUCGGUUGGGGCGACCCCGGGAUCAUAUAUCACCCUUCAUAUAAAGAUAUAUUAAUCAAAUAAGUGACCCUCUAAAGAUCAUAAAACCAAGCUACCUUAGGGAUAACAGGCUAAUCCCACUCAAGAGUCCUUAUCAACAGUGGGGGUUGGCACCUCGAUGUUGGCUUAGGGUAUCUAUAUAACGCAAAAGUUAUAUAAAGAUGGUUUGUUCAACCAGUAAUACCCUACAUGAGCUGAGUUCAGACCGGCGUAAGCCAGGUUAGCUUCUAUCCUCGACUCUAUUAAUCCUGCUCCUAGUACGAAAGGACCUGAGCAAGAUAAAUUUUAUAAAAAAGAAUUCAUAUAAUUAAAAAUUAAACAAAAUUAGUAAAAACUAUA